ACGUAGGAUGCAAGCAUUGUCCGGAUUUAUUGGGCGUAAAGAGUUCGUAGGCGGUUUGUUAAGUCUAAUGUUAAAGAUCAGGGCUCAACCCUGGGACUGCAUUGGAUACUGGCAGACUGGAGUGUGGUAGAGGUAAGUGGAAUUUCUGGUGUAGCGGUGAAAUGCGUAGAUAUCAGAAAGAACACCAGUGGCGUAGGCGACUUACUGGGCCAUAACUGACGCUGAGGAACGAAAGCCAGGGGAGCAAAUGGG
This 252-nucleotide ribosomal RNA is filed under the name uncultured bacterium. RNAcentral's name for it is "partial 16S ribosomal RNA". It matches the Rfam family "Bacterial small subunit ribosomal RNA", at positions 525 to 776 of the family's 1533-position model. The record is from RNAcentral.